RNAcentral lists this ribosomal RNA (251 nucleotides) under uncultured bacterium. RNAcentral's name for it is "partial 16S ribosomal RNA". It matches the Rfam family "Bacterial small subunit ribosomal RNA", at positions 524 to 776 of the family's 1533-position model. The record is from RNAcentral.
UACGGAGGAUGCGAGCGUUAUCCGGAUUUAUUGGGUUUAAAGGGUGCGUAGGCGGACUGUCGAGUCAGCGGUAAAAUUGAGAGGCUCAACCUCUUCCCGCCGUUGAAACUGGUGGUCUUAGUGGAUGAGAAGUACGCGGAAUGCGUGGUGUAACGGUGAAAUGCAUAGAUAUCACGCAGAACUCCGAUUGCGAAGGCAGCGUACCGGCAUCCAACUGACGCUGAGGCACGAAAGCGUGGGGAUCAAACAGG